UAGAGACAAGCCCCUGUCCCGCCUCUCCCCGUCCCCGCGUCCGCCAGCAGAGCUCGGGUUCUGGGCAAGUUCAGUCCCUAAGUUGAGCCCAACCCUGUCCAGCCUCCAGUCGCCCCUCCCUAGGAGGCUCGGACAGCCCCACUGAGCAUGUCCAGUGGCCUGAGUCCGGGGGGUCGCCGCUGGGAAGCUCUCCAGGCCCCUGGAUGGGCAGGGUUGGGUCCCUGCGUGGACGCUCCCAGCGGGGCGUACGAAUGACAGCCGCGCGACUGCAGCCAGGUGUGGAGGGCACAAGUUAGCCCGCGCGAGUAAACUUUCCGCGGUCCUCCUCCCCACCCCCACGCCACAGGGGCGCGUCUCCCCGUGGAGCUCGCCUUUCCCAGCCCGGCGGAGACAAGCACAGCACGUGAUGGGCAGAAAUAAAAAUAAACACUUCCCAUUCCCGGGCCGCGGGGCCACCCCCACUCCGCGCGCCGCAGCGAGCAGGGGGCGCCCUGGGCCGACCCGCCCCCGCCGCCGCGGCCAGAGCCCCCAGCCUCUGCGCCGCGGGCCGGGACGAGCGCCCGGGCCCACGGCCUCCGCGCCUACCUUUCGGACUUGGUGAACUUCCGGAAUGCCUGUCGGAGGUCGUGGAAGGACCUCCGCUUCUCCAGCUCUUUGAUCCUCUCCUCCUUGAGCAUGAGAAUCUUGGCAAAGUCUUCCUCUAGCUCGCUCAUUUUUUCACUGAGCCCCUCCGCGAAACUUUUUCUCGGGCGGCGGCGGCGGCGGCGGCGGCUGGGACGGCAGCGGCUGGGACGGCAGCGGCUGGGACGGCAGCCGGCAGCGGAGAGCGCGGGUGAGCGAGUGAAUGGGCGCUAAGUACUCGAGCGCGGCGGAGUGCGCCCCUAAUGCGGCGCGGGGAGCCUCCUGCUUCGAUCCGCUUCUGCUGAAUGGACUAAAAGCACCGAGGGGAGGAUGAGAAGUCUAAAAGCGAGGGAGAGGAGAGGCAGAGUGCUAAUCUCCAGCCUCUCCGGGGAGUAGGUGAUUAUCUUUCAUUGAGAAACCAAUUAGAGCUGCCCUUCCUCCCCUGAGACCCCCUCCCCCGUCCCCCUCUCCUAGUCACUCCGUGAGAAUACGCGCGCGCCACCCCACCGACAGCCGAGUUGCUAGCAGAGGGCUGGAUCAGAGAGCCUGGUCCCACUCCAUCACACAAAACUCACUCUUCCACGCUAUAUGGUACCAAGGGAAGGGGGUGGGGUGGGGGGGGGAGCUUUAUGCCACUUGAUCCUUGAAAUAGCAACAAUUACCAUGUGAUCUGGCGGAUGACGCAGCGCUUGUAACUGGAUCCUAAAGAGUGUGAGUGUGUGUGUAUGUGUGUGACAUUUCGUAAAUAUUAAACUGCCUUUAGACAGUAACCUGCACAAAUUCAUCUUGGUCUUUGACUUUUACUUCUUUUCUAUUUUUGAUGCCUGGAUGGAUUCAGAAAGGAAGGCGUGUGUGUGUGUGUGUGCGUGUGUGUGUGUUAGUUACUUUGAAGUCUCAUGGUUCUGACCCUAGUAAGAAUGACAGGGCAAUACCAGUUCCAAGGUUUUUCAGCGUAAAGCCUUACUGGACAGAGUGAACUAAAAUUGUUGGUGGGGAAGUUGGAUGAACAUAGGGUAAUGAGCCAAAUGAUUACGGAAAAGAGAAAGGCCAUGUGUUAAUUGUAAACUUUUUGUGUCUGGCUUUUUUUCCAUCUACUACCCUUCAGUCUUGUAUACAGACCAUCCAAAUUAUAUCACAAUCUCUUCCUCAAUGGCUCAGAAGUGGUGGCCACCAGUGCUAAGCUGGGUCACACUACCAGUUCCAGUUUGGGGGAGAAAUUGCAUCUUUAAUUAUCUGUGUUUUGGUCUUACCUGUGCAUCCACCAUCUACCCUAUGCUAAAAGGAUUAUUCUGCACAGUAGAAUAAUCGCGUAUUCACGGAUUCUUACAAUUUCCUUUUUUAUAUCUACGUAUCACAGAGAGCAUUUACAUAAGUCACUAUUUGAGAGUUUGAUUUGAUAGGGAAUGAGAAGUAUUUCUUCUGAUAAUAGUCAACACAUUGGUAAUUUUUUUAAGGAAAAAAAUAGUUGCAACUAAGAUACCAGGAGAUUCUUUCCUAAAUUGUAACUUUUCUUAAAAAAGAAAAAUCAAUGUAUAAUUACUGGCUACUUACAAAAAAAAAUUAUUCUACCUUUUCUGAAACAACUAAAUAAAGGAAAAACAGGUGUA
Long non-coding RNA from Pan troglodytes (chimpanzee), 2228 nucleotides. RefSeq lists it as uncharacterized. The transcript is spliced from 2 exons. Lineage: Eukaryota; Metazoa; Chordata; Mammalia; Primates; Hominidae. The record is from RefSeq and is a predicted model, not a curated record.